GACGAACGCUGGCGGCGUGCUUAACACAUGCAAGUCGAACGGAAAGGCCCUGCUUUUGUGGGGUGCUCGAGUGGCGAACGGGUGAGUAACACGUGAGUAACCUGCCCUUUACUUUGGGAUAACUUCAGGAAACUGGGGCUAAUACCGGAUAUGAGCUCCUGCUGCAUGGUGGGGGUUGGAAAGUUUCGGCGGUUGGGGAUGGACUCGCGGCUUAUCAGCUUGUUGGUGGGGUAGUGGCUUACCAAGGCUUUGACGGGUAGCCGGCCUGAGAGGGUGACCGGACACAUUGGGACUGAGAUACGGCCCAGACUCCAACGGGAGGCAGCAGUGGGGAAUAUUGCACAAUGGGCGGAAGCCUGAUGCAGCAACGCCGCGUGCGGGAUGACGGCCUUCGGGUUGUAAACCGCUUUCGCCUGUGACGAAGCGUGAGUGACGGUAAUGGGUAAAGAAGCACCGGCUAACUACGUG
RNAcentral lists this ribosomal RNA (468 nucleotides) under uncultured bacterium. RNAcentral describes it as "partial 16S ribosomal RNA". It matches the Rfam family "Bacterial small subunit ribosomal RNA", at positions 28 to 507 of the family's 1533-position model. The record is from RNAcentral.